GAGGGGAACGGACAGGGCAGGUCUAGAGGAGCAGACGUGGAGCUCAGGCUGCAGGUGGACUGUGUCUCGGGAUCGUCUUCUGAUGUUGUGCCGUUGCAGCUAUCCUCGAAAUUCACAGACAUCACUGUAGAACAAACACAGGACUGCUGUAUGAAUUACAAAUCGGAUUAUGGAUGAUCUCACUUACUCGAUAUGCCGUCAGACUCCAUUUUGAAGUUGGCGAUGUCGUCGGUAGCGGCCCCGUCAUCUUCAGCCCCCACCCCUCGGCCCCGGGGCCCCAUGGCAGAGAGUCGGCGGCGUGCGUGGAUCUCAUCCGAGAUGGUCUCCAGGUUCCGAAGGGCCGUCCGGUACUCGGCUUUGGCCUGGGUCAGUUUAGCCUGACGCUCGUCGACCCGUCUCUUCAGUUGCUGUAUGGGAGAUGGAGGACAAGUACGGCCUGCAGAGGGAGAGAAAGAGAAGCAUUUGAACAGAGUGAGUCUCAGAGCCGGUUUCCAUGGCAACAACAGAGCUCUGCGAAAGAACCGGCACAUUCCACCAGCAGAAACACAUCUGGAGCACAUUAGAGACGCCUCACACUGAACUACACUUCCAUCCACAGCCCAGCGACAGCAGAGGCCCGGGGUGGGGAGGACAAAGACAGAAAGACACACUCUGCUGAAAGAGUUUUGGUAAUUUACAUGUGAGAGAGAUAAUGUUUUGUGGGUAUUCUGAAGGAAACAUCAUUUUAUUUCCAAAUAUUGACAUGUUUGAAAUGAUGUAAGGCCUGCAGAACCCGUGCGUGCACAACUUGUUUCAGCAAGAUUUUAGGG
Long non-coding RNA from Megalobrama amblycephala (Wuchang bream), 809 nucleotides. RefSeq lists it as uncharacterized. Lineage: Eukaryota; Metazoa; Chordata; Actinopteri; Cypriniformes; Xenocyprididae. The record is from RefSeq and is a predicted model, not a curated record. The transcript has 3 exons.